ACGUAGGGUGCGAGCGUUGUCCGGAAUUAUUGGGCGUAAAGAGCUUGUAGGCGGUUUGUCGCGUCUGCUGUGAAAUUUCGGGGCUUAACCCCGAACUUGCAGUGGGUACGGGCAGACUAGAGUGUGGUAGGGGAGACUGGAAUUCCUGGUGUAGCGGUGAAAUGCGCAGAUAUCAGGAGGAACACCGAUGGCGAAGGCAGGUCUCUGGGCCAUAACUGACGCUGAGAAGCGAAAGCAUGGGGAGCGAACAGGA
Molecule: ribosomal RNA, 253 nt
Filed under: uncultured prokaryote
Description: partial 16S ribosomal RNA
Rfam family: Bacterial small subunit ribosomal RNA
Source: RNAcentral